GUGUGGUUGAUCAGGCCGGGGACAACAUGCUGGGAAACGGUGGCUAAUACCGGAUGUGCCGAAAGGUGAAAGGUUUAUUGCCUGGAGAUGAGCUCGCGUCUGAUUAGCUAGUAGGUGUGGUAAGAGCGCACCUAGGCGACGAUCAGUAGCUGGUCUGAGAGGAUGAUCAGCCACACUGGGACUGAGACACGGCCCAGACUCCUACGGGAGGCAGCAGUGGGGAAUUUUCCGCAAUGGGCGAAAGCCUGACGGAGCAAUACCGCGUGAGGGAGGAAGGCUCUUGGGUUGUAAACCUCUUUUCUCAGGGAAGAAAAAAAUGACGGUACCUGAGGAAUAAGCAUCGGCUAACUCCGUGCCAGCAGCCGCGGUAAUACGGAGGAUGCAAGCGUUAUCCGGAAUGAUUGGGCGUAAAGCGUCCGCAGGUGGCUAUGUAAGUCUGCUGUUAAAGAGUGAGGCUCAACCUCAUAAGAGCAGUGGAAACUACAUAGCUAGAGUGCGUUCGGGGCAGAGGGAAUUCCUGGUGUAGCGGUGAAAUGCGUAGAGAUCAGGAAGAACACCGGUGGCGAAAGCGCUCUGCUAGGCCGCAACUGACACUGAGGGACGAAAGCUAGGGGAGCGAAUGGGAUUAGUCCCCCCGGGUNAACAUUAAGGUGGUAGGGNNNCNUAGGUUAGAGGUGNUUUAAAAACCUUNUNCCCUCCNCCCCCUUCCCUUCCCGCUCCCCCCCACUAUCUUCACCGUUCUUAUGUAUUGG
RNAcentral lists this ribosomal RNA (752 nucleotides) under uncultured Calothrix sp. Its description in RNAcentral is "bacterial SSU rRNA". It matches the Rfam family "Bacterial small subunit ribosomal RNA". Lineage: Bacteria; Bacillati; Cyanobacteriota; Cyanophyceae; Nostocales; Calotrichaceae. The record is from RNAcentral.